AUUGAACGCUGGCGGCAGGCUUAACACAUGCAAGUCGAGCGGAGACUUCGGUCUUAGCGGCGAACGGGUGAGGAAUGCCUGGGAAUCUGCCUGGUAGUGGGGGAUAACGUUCCGAAAGGAACGCUAAUACCGCAUACGUCCUACGGGAGAAAGCAGGGGACCUUCGGGCCUUGCGCUAUCAGGAUGAGCCCAGGUCGGAUUAGCUAGUAGGUGAGGUAAAGGCUCACCUAGGCGACGAUCCGUAGCUGGUCUGAGAGGAUGAUCAGCCACACUGGAACUGAGACACGGUCCAGACUCCUACGGAGGCAGCAGUGGGGAAUAUUGGACAAUGGCGAAAGCCUGAUCCAGCCAUGCCGCGUGU
Molecule: ribosomal RNA, 361 nt
Filed under: uncultured bacterium
Lineage: Bacteria
Description: bacterial SSU rRNA
Rfam family: Bacterial small subunit ribosomal RNA
Source: RNAcentral